This 274-nucleotide ribosomal RNA is filed under the name uncultured bacterium. Its description in RNAcentral is "partial 16S ribosomal RNA". It matches the Rfam family "Archaeal small subunit ribosomal RNA", at positions 473 to 747 of the family's 1478-position model. The record is from RNAcentral.
AAACCAGCACCUCAAGUGGUCAGGAGGAUUAAUGGGCCUAAAGCAUCCGUAGCCGGCUAUGUUAGUUUUCGGUUAAAUCCAUGUGCUCAACACAUGGGCUGUCGAGAAUACUGCAUAGCUAGGGAGUGGGAGAGGUAGACGGUACUCGAUAGGAAGGGGUAAAAUCCUUUGAUCUAUUGAUGACCACCUGUGGCGAAGGCGGUCUACCAGAACACGUUCGACGGUGAGGGAUGAAAGCUGGGGGAGCAAACCGGAUUAGAAACCCGAGUAGUCC